AUGUGCGCUGCUUUUUUUUUUUUUUACAGCACGCCCAAAAAGGUUUCCCUGCCGGCAGGAGGAAACUUUGGGCAGCGUCCCCCCUCGCAGAGUGCACCGGGAGCAGCGCCCGGAGCAAACCCCAAACCCGCGGCACCCCGGGGGACAGCAGAGCCCGGGGGUGGCCGCGGGUCCCCGCGGGGGUCCCUUGGGGGCUUUGGGGACCCCACACCGGGGACACCCGCGGGGACAAACCCCAGGAGCGGGGCUCCGCCAACCGAGUGGGGGCACACCGGGAGGCUCGGGGUGCGCGUAUGGUGGUGGGGUUGUUGGAGAGGGGCUGUCCGGUGUCCCCCGUCCCCUCUGGCCACCGGGGGUGCGCGGGGCUGGCUUGGCCGGAGGGGGGGGGGCCCAGGAAAAAAGGGGAGGGGGGGGCGGCUCCGGCGUCCCGGGAGCCGGCGUGGGGCCGCGCCGCAACCCGCGCCGCGAUCGAUCCGCAUCGACCGUCCCCGCCGCGCUGCUCCACUUUCCAGCCAAUGUCAGGCGGCGGCGGCGGCGGCCCGGGGAGCCCCGCCGGUGGCACCGCACACCCCGCCUGGCGCACCGCCCGCGCCGCGCUGCCCCGAAGAGCCGGCCUGGACCGCAACGCCGAGGAGCCGCGGAGCCGCCGAGCAGCGCCCCGGUUCCUCUCCUCCCCCCCUUGCUCCUGCAGAGGGGUCCCGAGCAGCCGGAGCCCCGCUACGGGAGGAGGAGGAGGAGAGGGAAGGGAGCUGGGUGAUGCGCGGUGGCUGUCGGUGCGCCCCGCACCUGCACCCGCAGCUGGGCACGCAGCUGCACCUACACGCAUCCACGUGUGCACACCUACAUCUGCACACACACACACACACAUGCACAACUGCACCGACACACACACCUACAUGCACACCUACACCUACAUGCACACCUACACCCCCGCCCGCACCUGCACCUACACCUGCACGUACAGCUACACCUACACGCACACCUACACCCACACCCACACGCACACCUACCCCCACAUCUACAUGCGUAUGCACACCUACACCCGUACCUACACCUGUACCUACACCUGUACCUACAGCUGUACCUACACCUACACCCGUACCUACACCUACACCCACACCCAUCCUCACACCUACACCUACACUUGCACCUGCUCCUGUAGCCAUACCUACCCCCACAUGCACACCCACACCUACAGCCAUACCUACACCUACACCCACAUCUCCAGCUGCACCCACACCUACACCUGCACCCGUACCUACCACCCCCAGAAACACCCACACCAAAUCCACCCGGUGCAGCACCCUGCUGCACCCCACCGCCACCCCGCUGCCCUGCAGGACCCCUUGGCACCACCCUGCUCCUCACCCCGAGCCCACCCCACAGCCCCGUCCUGCAGCCCGAAGUGGCGCCGUGCCCCGUUUUGUGUCCCGCUGCUGCCCUUCGCACGUUGCCUGUGCUGGGAGGCCCCUGGGAAGGAGCGUG
This 1485-nucleotide long non-coding RNA is filed under the name Anas platyrhynchos platyrhynchos (common mallard). RNAcentral's name for it is "lncRNA (ENSAPLG00000027482.1)". The record is from RNAcentral. Lineage: Eukaryota; Metazoa; Chordata; Aves; Anseriformes; Anatidae.